AGAAAGAAAGAAAGAAAAGAUGUGGAGUCCUGGAUCCCACCCCCAGGGACUGAUUGAGUAGCGAAGCCACGGGAGAGAAUCCGCCUGCGCUGCUGGGCACCUGCUCAACACGUGUUUCCCUGGAGGAUGCUCGCGAGCCACGGUGGCCUUCGCACGAGUGAGAAGCCAACUCACUCACGGACACAGAGAAAACAGGUAUGUCCCACUCACGUCAAGGGUUCAGCUAACCAGUGGAUGGCAGUGCCAUACGGAGAAUGUUUAACAACAGUAGCAGAAAUACUUCAAACUUCUCAGUAGAAGAAACUGUUGUCCCAACAGACCAUAGAUACGCUUCUUCUUCGGCUCUGUUAAAUAGCAAACCAUUCAAUAGGGUCAGAUGUUGAGCGUUCAA
Molecule: long non-coding RNA, 391 nt
Organism: Canis lupus familiaris (dog)
Lineage: Eukaryota; Metazoa; Chordata; Mammalia; Carnivora; Canidae
Exons: 3
Source: RefSeq, a predicted model, not a curated record